CCCUUAGAUGUUCUGGGCUGCACGCGCGCUACACUGUCGGAUUCAGCGAGUCAUAUCCUUAACCGAAAGGUUUGGGUAAUCUUUUGAAAGUCCGACGUGAUGGGGAUUGAUCAUUGCAAUUAUUGAUCAUGAACGAGGAAUUCCUAGUAAGCGCGAGUCAUCAGCUCGCGUUGAUUGCGUCCCUGCCCUUUGUACACACCGCCCGUCGCUACUACCGAUUGAAUGGUUUAGUGAGAUCUUCGGAUUGGCGCCUACGCGGCUUCUCUGAGGCCACGCUGGAUGCCGAAAAGUUGCUCAAACUGUAUCAUUUAGAGGAAGUAAAAGUCGUAACA
RNAcentral lists this ribosomal RNA (332 nucleotides) under uncultured eukaryote. Its description in RNAcentral is "partial 18S ribosomal RNA". It matches the Rfam family "Eukaryotic small subunit ribosomal RNA", at positions 1470 to 1796 of the family's 1831-position model. The record is from RNAcentral.